CCAUGGCAACUUUGUGACUGCAUCUCUCCCCAGCUCCUGCAGUCCAGAGUGGGCAAGGAAAGCACUCAUGCCUAGCAAGCUCCCCUGCCUGGCGUGGAUGUCACGUACAGGAUCUCUUAGGAUACAUCUUUAAUUACUGUGUUCUCUUAAUUACUCCUUUUGAUUUCCCUGACUAUAGCGUGAAGAUGAAGGGAAGACAAGGUCUUCAGUCAUGACAGAAGCAAAAAUUUCACUGCUGUCUGCUCUGAGGGAUGCACCCCAAAAAAAGAGCUGUCACGAUAGCUGGAGAAAAGAAGGCACUUACAUACCAAGCACUCAUCAACUGGCAUCCCUUAGCUGCUUAAUACUGCUGUCUGCACAAGAAGAAAAAAAUCAUAGUACCAGACAACGUAAUAGUAGGAGGAGGCGAUUCUCUAAAGAGAGUGAAGGCAAACUUAUGAGGAGCGUAGGGCUCAUCUCGCCUGGUGGUGUACACAGAGCUGGAGCCUGCACUGUACCUGAUGUGACAACUCAAGGAAAUGCACCCAAGGGAAAAUUACAGCACGUGGCAUUCACCUUGGUUCAGUUCUGUAGUGCUUUUUGUACGUCCCCCUGACAGUGGAUGUUAAGAUACAGCCAAACCUUGCUCGCUCUGCCCUCCCUGUGCCAUCUGCUCGUGAACUGAGGAGCUGGCAGCCCCGCAGGCAACGCUCCCACCACCUGCUCCCGCUGAGCCUUCCUCCCUCAGCAGCUCUCCCCCUCACUGUUCCACCAGUGCACACAGGAUUCAUUAGGAACUGGCUGCAGAGUGCUGCCAUCGCAGCGAUCCCCCCUCCUGCCCAUCUCCCCGCUGUAGGCCUCAGGUCUGAGGCAUGGCAUGGCAAGCAGCUACAGGCUAUCCUAUCCAACAGCAGGGCUCCCUUCCCUUCCCUUCCCUUCCCUUCCCUUCCCUUCCCUUCCCUUCCCUUCCCUUCCCUUCCCUUCCCUUCCCUUCCCUAGCUCCCGUCCUGCUGUCAGCCAGGCCCCAUUCCUUGAGGAUGGGACCAACUUCAAAGUUUUCAAAGACUUCAGACAAGGGAGAAAACAUUUUUUAAAAAGUAUCUUUAGAAUCUCUUCAAAACACCACAAAUAAUCACUGUUAAAUACGCAGAUGGGAAACUUGGCCUUCCUCCUCUCGCUGACAAACACCAGGCCCGGCCAGGGCUCUGCAACCCAUCACUAAGCUGAACUUCUUCUGCAAGGAGGCUACAUUUUGAGAUACACAAAGCACUAUCAAAGACCAAGGAUAAGCUAAAGCCGUUCAACCACCUCAUGUCCUUUUCCCUGUUCCUGACAAGGGUGCGGAUGGCCGGUGGCAGGGCUGCACUGGGAUAACUGCUUCUUUUUGCCAGCUGUGCCACACAGUUGCCUUUGUCACUUUGUCCUCGUGGAUCAGAAAACACGGCUGUGUUUCUACUGCUAGGCCCAGCAAGAAUGUUUAAACUAAGCAGCGGAUGUGAUAUUUAGUUGAAAUAAAGAAAAAAACAACAACA
This 1511-nucleotide long non-coding RNA is filed under the name Phasianus colchicus (ring-necked pheasant). Its description in RNAcentral is "lncRNA (ENSPCLG00000004115.1)". The record is from RNAcentral. Lineage: Eukaryota; Metazoa; Chordata; Aves; Galliformes; Phasianidae.